UUAAGUUCGACUUCCGAUACCAAUACCGAUACUAACAACAUGUCAUGCGCAUGCUAUCUGCUUGCAAGAAACACGAGGACAAGUGUAUUGUAAGUCACCACUACCGAACUCGGCUUUGUAUUGGAAGUCGGGGGAAUUGUAAGAUAAACUCAUAUAAAUCGGAUAUUUCAUAAUUUUUACGAUAAACAUGUAAACUAUUUGUUUAUUAGCAUCGCCUGAGUCAUGUUUCAGUCGGAAUUUUAGCUCAGCUGCCGUUUAGUAUACCGCACAUUUUCGGUGACGAUUAAUGUGUUCUAUACCGUAUUU
Molecule: long non-coding RNA, 306 nt
Filed under: Paramuricea clavata
Lineage: Eukaryota; Metazoa; Cnidaria; Anthozoa; Malacalcyonacea; Plexauridae
Source: RNAcentral